RNAcentral lists this ribosomal RNA (253 nucleotides) under uncultured bacterium. RNAcentral describes it as "partial 16S ribosomal RNA". It matches the Rfam family "Bacterial small subunit ribosomal RNA", at positions 524 to 776 of the family's 1533-position model. The record is from RNAcentral.
UACGGAGGGAGCUAGCGUUGUUCGGAAUUACUGGGCGUAAAGCGCACGUAGGCGGCUAUUCAAGUCGGGGGUGAAAGCCCGGGGCUCAACCCCGGAACAGCCCUCGAAACUAGAUAGCUAGAAUCUUGGAGAGGUCAGUGGAGUUCCGAGUGUAGAGGUGAAAUUCGUAGAUAUUCGGAAGAACACCAGUGGCGAAGGCGACUGACUGGACAAGUAUUGACGCUGAGGUGCGAAAGCGUGGGGAGCAAACAGG